This 490-nucleotide ribosomal RNA is filed under the name uncultured bacterium. RNAcentral's name for it is "partial 16S ribosomal RNA". It matches the Rfam family "Bacterial small subunit ribosomal RNA", at positions 30 to 507 of the family's 1533-position model. The record is from RNAcentral.
AUUGAACGCUGGCGGCAGGCCUAACACAUGCAAGUCGAACGGUAACAGGAAGCAGCUUGCUGCUUUGCUGACGAGUGGCGGACGGGUGAGUAAUGUCUGGGAAACUGCCCGAUGGAGGGGGAUAACUACUGGAAACGGUAGCUAAUACCGCAUAACGUCGCAAGACCAAAGAGGGGGACCUUAGGGCCUCUUGCCAUCGGAUGUGCCCAGAUGGGAUUAGCUAGUAGGUGGGGUAACGGCUCACCUAGGCGACGAUCCCUAGCUGGUCUGAGAGGAUGACCAGCCACACGUGAACUGAGACACGGUCCAGACUCCUACGGGAGGCAGCAGUGGGGAAUAUUGGACAAUGGGCGCAAGCCUGAUGCAUCCAUGCCGCGUGUAUGAAGAAGGCCUUCGGGUUUUAAAGUACUUUCGUCGGGGAGGAAAGGAGUAACGUUAAUACCUUGGCUCAUUGACGUUACCCUAAGAAGAAGCACCGGCUAACUCCGUG